Molecule: ribosomal RNA, 613 nt
Filed under: uncultured bacterium
Lineage: Bacteria
Description: bacterial SSU rRNA
Rfam family: Bacterial small subunit ribosomal RNA (bases 1-522)
Source: RNAcentral
CCUACGGGAGGCAGCAGUGGGGAAUAUUGGGCAAUGGAGGAAACUCUGACCCAGCGACGCCGCGUGCGGGAUGAAGGCCUUCGGGUUGUAAACCGCUUUCAGCAGGGAAGAAGCGAAAGUGACGGUACCUGCAGAAGAAGCACCGGCUAACUAUGUGCCAGCAGCCGCGGUAAUACAUAGGGUGCAAGCGUUGUCCGGAAUUAUUGGGCGUAAAGAGCUCGUAGGUGGUUCGUCACGUCGGAUGUGAAAAUCUGGGGCUUAACCCCAGACCUGCAUUCGAUACGGGCGAGCUUGAGUAUGGUAGGGGAGUCUGGAAUUCCUGGUGUAGCGGUGGAAUGCGCAGAUAUCAGGAGGAACACCAAUGGCGAAGGCAGGACUCUGGGCCAUUACUGACACUGAGGAGCGAAAGCGUGGGGAGCGGAACAGGAUUAGAUACCCUGGUAGUCCACGCCGUAAACGGUGGGCACUAGUUGUGGGGACCUUCCACGGGUCUCUGCGACGCNGCUACGCAUAGUGCCCGCCGUCGGGAGGUACGAGUCGCGAGAGUUAAACGUACGAAAGUUAAGUUAGUACGGCGUUGAGACGNGCCGACGGACGACGACGAGGGAGGAGG